RNAcentral lists this ribosomal RNA (253 nucleotides) under uncultured bacterium. RNAcentral describes it as "partial 16S ribosomal RNA". It matches the Rfam family "Bacterial small subunit ribosomal RNA", at positions 524 to 776 of the family's 1533-position model. The record is from RNAcentral.
UACGUAGGGGGCAAGCGUUGUCCGGAAUUAUUGGGCGUAAAGAGCGUGUAGGCGGUCCGGUAAGUCAGCUGUGAAAGUCAAGGGCUCAACCCUUGAAAGCCGGUUGAUACUGUCGGGCUAGAGUCCGGAAGAGGCGAGUGGAAUUCCCGGUGUAGCGGUGAAAUGCGCAGAUAUCGGGAGGAACAUCAGUGGCGAAAGCGGCACCCUGGCAUUAGCCUGACGCUCAGGUGCGAAAGCGUGGGGAGCGAACGGG